GACUCUCGACAAUGGAUAUCUAGGCUCUCGCAUCGAUGAAGAACGCAGCAAAAUGCGAUACGUGGUGUGAAUUGCAGAAUCCCGUGAACCAUCAAGUAUUUGAACGCAAGUUGCGCCCGGGGAAAAUCAUCCAGGGCACGUCCGCAUGGGCACUAUAUUUUCCAUCGCUUCAUGCC
This 176-nucleotide ribosomal RNA is filed under the name Pogoniopsis nidus-avis. RNAcentral's name for it is "partial 5.8S ribosomal RNA". The stretch from base 1 to 155 matches the Rfam family "5.8S ribosomal RNA". Rfam says of the family: 5.8S ribosomal RNA (5.8S rRNA) is a component of the large subunit of the eukaryotic ribosome. It is transcribed by RNA polymerase I as part of the 45S precursor that also contains 18S and 28S rRNA. Functionally, it is thought that 5.8S rRNA may be involved in ribosome translocation. The record is from RNAcentral. Lineage: Eukaryota; Viridiplantae; Streptophyta; Magnoliopsida; Asparagales; Orchidaceae.